UAUUUUACAUGAUUGAUAAGAUGCAUUAUUGAGUAUUUUUAUCUUUAAAGUUAAGAUUUCUCCAAUCUCAUUAUUUUAAUAGGAUAAGAAUGAAGCAAAAUUAGCUUAAAUAAUAAAAUAAUCAAAAAUUUUGAGAUAUCAUAAUUAGAAUUUCAAUCCAUCAAAAUAAACAAGAGAUUUUACGUGAGUGGAAGAUUUUAUCUAAUCUUGUCUCGAUAAAUAUAUCUAUGUUAUAUUUGACCAACACACACAUUACUAUGCAUUAAUGGCAGAUCUAUUCAUCGUACAGUUUUCCCAGAUGAAGUUUUGAUGAGGCUCGACUCUUUGUUUGAGUUCUACAUUUUAAAGGGUUGUUAAAUUUUUUUAUUUUUCUUUUUUUUUAUAUAUAAAAUUUUAUUUUAAAAAAUGGUUGAUACAUAUUCAUUAUAAUUGACAUUGUACGUACAUAUUAAUGGCUCAUCGUAAAAUUUGAACUAAAAAUUAAAGUAAUUAAAAAAGAUGUAAAGUUUCUUAAAUUCCCUUUUUUUU
This 528-nucleotide long non-coding RNA is filed under the name Salvia miltiorrhiza (redroot sage). RNAcentral describes it as "long non-coding RNA (SMIL_LNC002651)". The record is from RNAcentral. Lineage: Eukaryota; Viridiplantae; Streptophyta; Magnoliopsida; Lamiales; Lamiaceae.